GAGGGUGUGGCUCAGCGGUAGAGCGUGUGCUUGGCGCGCAUAGGGUCCUGGGCUCAAUCCCCAGUUCUGCCU
This 72-nucleotide transfer RNA is filed under the name Camelus ferus (Wild Bactrian camel). It matches the Rfam family "tRNA". Rfam says of the family: Transfer RNA (tRNA) molecules are approximately 80 nucleotides in length. Their secondary structure includes four short double-helical elements and three loops (D, anti-codon, and T loops). Further hydrogen bonds mediate the characteristic L-shaped molecular structure. tRNAs have two regions of fundamental functional importance: the anti-codon, which is responsible for specific mRNA codon recognition, and the 3' end, to which the tRNAs corresponding amino acid is attached (by aminoacyl-tRNA synthetases). tRNAs cope with the degeneracy of the genetic code in two manners: having more than one tRNA (with a specific anti-codon) for a particular amino acid; and 'wobble' base-pairing, i.e. permitting non-standard base-pairing at the 3rd anti-codon position. The record is from Rfam by way of RNAcentral. Lineage: Eukaryota; Metazoa; Chordata; Mammalia; Artiodactyla; Camelidae.